GGUACGGUAGUGACCAAGAACACAAGAAGCGGUCACACUUAUUAAUCGUCUGUCUCUGACCGAACAUAUCGAUAGCAGGAGUACUCGGUUGCAACGGGAGAAAGAGGGACAACGGCCAGCGACAGUCGCCGCCAGAGUAUCGGAGACGCGCCAUUGCAAGAAGGCAAGGUAAAGCGCAGGAAGCGAUAGGCGGCGACCAACUCAACCAAUACUACCAUACACAAGGGGGUAAAGACAAUCUGGAGCAAGGAAGGGCUGAGAAAGAGAUUGUCGAUACGUGCUGUAGAACUUGGACAAGAAGCAUCUCGUGGACCGGUGGUGCAGGCAGCGAAGACGCAGAGACAAGACAUUGGAUCUGGUUGCGUCAUCGGUGGAUGUGUGCAGGAACGUAUAGGCCAAGGGCUGGUGCACGAAUUUUGGCAGACCAGGUGCUAAUAGGUGCUCCUCAUUCAAGGAACACCUGUUUGUCAGUCGUUUGCCAAACGUUGCCGAAAGAGGUUGUGUAGCUCACGAUUUUUUCAUUGUCUUCUUAUUUUACUUCAUUGUUUACGAAGACAAUGAAAUAUGCAUGCAACUACUAUUCUAUUUUGGAUGUGUAAUGAAAUGUGUAUGUAAUAGAAUCUAUAUUCAGUUAAA
Long non-coding RNA from Drosophila guanche, 636 nucleotides. RefSeq lists it as uncharacterized. The transcript has 2 exons. The record is from RefSeq and is a predicted model, not a curated record. Lineage: Eukaryota; Metazoa; Arthropoda; Insecta; Diptera; Drosophilidae.